This 10919-nucleotide long non-coding RNA is filed under the name Glycine max (soybean). Its description in RNAcentral is "long non-coding RNA (GMAX_LNC002959)". Lineage: Eukaryota; Viridiplantae; Streptophyta; Magnoliopsida; Fabales; Fabaceae. The record is from RNAcentral.
UACCAAAGCUAAUUCCUAUUGUUAAACCUAUUCCUAUUCCCAAACCAAUUCCCAUUGUUAAGUCAAUUCCUAUUGUUAAACCUGGAUCAAAGUCAAUCCCCAUUUUAAAGCCAAUUCAUAUUCUUAAACCUAUUCCAAAGUCAAUUCUCAUUGUUAAGCCUAUACCAAAACUGAAAAAAUCCAUCCUGCUGCUGAGCCAUUGAGCCAGAGGAGUUUUUAAAACCAAAGCCUUUCUUCAAAAAGCCUAUUCCAAAAUUACCUCUUGAUCCCAAAUUUAAGAAACCACUUCUACCAUCAUUGCCAAUUCCAACUCCAUAAAAUGCAACACUCUACGUCUACAAGCAACAAGGGCAUCCCUUCCAUUUCUAACACCUAUAUAUAUAUAUAUAGGGGACAUAUCAGGUGAGGUGAGAGUUUUAUGAUGAGAGGUGAGAAGAUUAAAUAGCAAUCCUUCAGAUCAAAAUAGAAUGUCCAGAUUUGAUUUAAUUGCUAAUUAAAUAAAUUGAGAGAAAAAUAUUGUGCAUGAGAGAGCCAAUGUUAAAUGCACAUAUAAUUUUUCUCUCAUCUCAUUUAAUUAGCAAUUAAAUCUGGAUCUUCUAUUUUAAUUUAAAGGUUCUUAUUUAAUCCUCUCACCUCUCAUAAUAAAACACUCAUUUCACCUGAUACAUAUGUAUAUAUAUAUUUGCACGCUCCAGCCUCAAUCAUGAUUUAGAUAAUCCUUCUGUACCCCUCUUGUGUACUGGAUUGGAAUAUAUAUAUAUAUAGUUAAUGUGUUCUCCUUAACGAAGUUCUUAAUAUUAAAGUUUUUAUUUGGUUGAUUAUAUUAAAGUAAGAAAUGGUAAUAAUUUUUCAGUUUUCAUUUAAGUAAUAUUUUAAAUAAGUAUUUCCUUUUUUAUUUUUUAGUAUAUAAUAUUUAAUUGUGUUCGUGUGUGGAGAGAGAUCAUUAAAUCAUAUAACCGAUGUAGAUCCUGCGGAUGUUGAUUCAGGGAACUUUCUACAUCCAUUAUUAAUAAAACUAAUGUAGAAAGUGUCUUCAACUUUUUUGGCUAAUACGCUUUGUCUUCCAUGGAACAAUUGCUAGCAAGGAGUCUCUCUCCAUAAGAAUAACCUAAUAUGAGAAACACAAGCACGUCAGAGAAAAAAAAUAGAUUUGGAAAUUGCAGUGCAUAGGACAAAUGAAAACUUUAUUGUAAAAAGGCCAUUCUCUCGGACUUCUAUAGAUCGAAAAGGAAUUAUUUUAAUGUGAUGAUGGGGAGCGAUGAGAUUCCUUAUGUGUAAAAAGUAAUUAUCUCAAAAUUCAAUAAAUUUCUUUUGCUUCUUAAUUAAAAUUGUUGUAGUGUUUUUAGUCUCUCUCCAUAAUUCAAUAAAUUUUUUUAUUCAGUAAAAACCUAUUUUUUUAGUAGUGUUUGGUCUUAACAUACUUAACUAAAUUCAGGGGUUUGAAUUCUCAACUUGGGCAUGGAAUCAUGACUAAAGGUAUAACUUUACUCAAAAAUAGACCAACCUAGUGGAAGGAGAAUCAUGUAGGUGUCAAAUAGAAACUUUAGAUACUUCCUUCUUACACACACACACACACACACAACAAAAAAAAACAAAAACAAACAUAAACUUAAAUAAGCUUUCAAGGGUAAACAAACCAGCUCUCAGAAAAUAAAAGGAAGAAGAUGCAACUCAAAUCCUUACACUGGACUCACUCUUCACACCAUGUCCUAAAACUUCACACCAUUACAUAACUACAACCAUUAUUGUGAAAAGUUUAUAGCAGGGGCCUCUUUUAUACUACAAUGCAUUGAGGUUGAUGCUAGAAAGUUGGAAGCUAAUUUGUGGCAUACAAGUGGAAGUUGAUGAUAUUGCAAUGCUAAGUAGAAACUAAAUAAGAAACCCUUGUAUUUGAGAUAAAUGAGAGAGAGAGAGAGAGAGAGAGAGAGAGAGAGAGAGAGAGAGAGAGAGAGAGAGAGUAUAUAUGGAUUAAGUAUGUUAAGACCAAACACUACUAAAAAAAAUAGUCUUUUACGACGCAGCUUCAACAAUGAUACUUGAAUUGUCUAAUGUUUUCAUGUACCUUUACCCCUUUUAUUUUGAUUGAAGUUUUGCUGACUCUUGAUGCAAGUGGGAACUAUGUUAUCAACGUAAUCAUAUUUUUUUUUCUAGCUUGUAAGGUAACAAAUUUUAUUUAAUGACUAUAUUGGUUAGCUUGAUCCAAAUGGCUUCGAAUUUGGCACCCUAAAUAAAUCCUUUUGUUUUUAAUGGAUGUAGGUGUAAGGUCCAAACCUUGUUUCGCGCCCCUAUAUUAUUGUUCUCAGUAACUUUGCAAACAAUAGACCAAAACUAACUUUUGCUGGCAUUUGUUUUCCUUUUUACCGACAAUAAAAAUUGCUACUAAGGCAUUUAGUGGCAAUUUAAGUUUCGUCGGAGUAUCCAGGAUCGGUAACCGACAUUUAUUGUGAGUGCUGGUAAAGCCCACUUUUUUUGCUGGGAAAAACCAAAUACUUAUAACGGCAAUUUUUGCGACAAUUUAAAUGGCCAUCAAAAGUAGCCUUCCAAUUCAUAUUUCAGCCAUUCAAUGCUUUCUUUUUAGUGAUUGAAUUGAUUCAGUCUUCAUAUUGACAUUUUUUUUUGUAAGGUAAAGGGAAUUUUAUGAAGUUUAAUUUGUUACUUGAUUCUUUAUUUUAAGCAUGUCAAUAGAGACUACAUUAACUAAUGUCUACUUAGGAUAACUCUUAUUAAAAACACUAUGUUUGUUCUUAUAGAGUGGGAUCCAGAUGAUGAACCACAGCACAUUGAGCCAUCUCGUUAUCUUUCUUUCAAUAAAAAGAUGGCAGAAGGAAUAGAUAUAUUUGGUAGCCUUUGGUGUGUAGAUGGAAUGAACUUUAACAUUAUGUUAUGUUUUAUUUUAUUAUUUUCAGUAGAGAGAAAUAAUUGUAUUUUUCUCAUACUAAAGUUUGUCACAUUAAUUAAGAUUUUAUUUCAGAAAAGUUCUAGACAUUUUUGAAGGACAUAUUACAUUUUUUUUCUAUAAUGUGAUUAAUAUCUUAUAUUCUACUAUACUAACAAGCAAAGAUAGGACCGUAAGUGUUCUGAUGUUUAGUUCUUAAUAAUAAUAUUUUUAUUAUAUCUAUAAAGAAAAUAAUAUUUUUAAUUUUUCUUUAAAAAAAGACAUUCUUAGAUGGUUCUUUGAAAAAUCGUCUUAGAAAAUUUACUUUUUAAGACGAUUUUAGGAAAAAUCGUCUUAGAAUCCUUGAUUGUUUUUAUUUUUUUAAAAAAUAUAUUCUAAGACGAUUUUUUAGAAAACCAUCUUAAAAAACUCAAGUUUUCCAAUUAAAAAAAAAAUAUUUUAAGACAUUUCUCUGAAAAAUUGUCUUAAAAAAUUUACUUUCUAAGGUGAUUUUUUUCAAUUUUUAUUUUUUUUUAUUAAAAUGACAUUGUAAGACGAUUCCGAGAUAAAACUGUCUUAGAAAUUAUAUCAUUCUAAGACGGUUUAAAAACUAUCAACUUUCCACUACAGCAACUUCAAGAACGGUUGAAAAUUAUUAUAAAAAGUCUCUUAAAACCAUCGAAAAAUGGUUUUUUAAGUGGUGAAAGGAGGUACUAUAAGAAAAUCACAUAAACAAAUAAAAAUAAUGCUACAUACAAAGUGUCAACUUUUGCACCAAAAGUGGGUUAGAUUCACUCAAACCAAACUUUUGCAUCCAUUAUGCAUUGUACACAAACACUACUCAGGGUCGGGCAAUCUUAGGGUCUACAUGGCAAACAUGAAAAUCCUUAAAAAUUGUUGUUACUAAAGUUGUCUUCACAUUGACGCUAUUAGCAUUGUUUUUUUAGUCUAACACUAUGUAGCUACAAAAUGCAUAAGUUAGUCAAGUAGACGCUAAUGGUAUAUUAUUUUAAAAGAUUUUUCUUUAUUUAUUGUUAAUAUGUUACAAAACUAGAAUAUAUAUAAAUUAAAAUAAUAAAAGCAUUAAUAUAGAGUUAUAAUAUCAACAAUAAUAUAGAAGUAUAUAAUAAUAAUAUAAGGGGAAGGGGAUGUAACAUUUGUUAAAAAUGAGUUUCUACAUUGAUUGUAGAAUCGGUGUAGAUAUUGUCUGUUAUAGAAUGUAUAUAUUUUGAAUCAGACAAUGAGCCGAUGAUAAAAAAAUUACAUCAAUUAUUGUAACAACUGAUGUAAAAGCCCCAAUUCAUACAAAAAAGCUUUACAUUAUUUGUUCAUAUAUAUCCUCAUAUCUACAUUUGAGCUUUGUCAUACCACCUGCCGCAACCACAAUGGCUCCGCCAUGACUUUCAUGAAUAUGGAAACACCACACUGCACCUUAUAUGCCGCUUUCAUUUCCUUGAAACGGCCACCAUGCCAUUUCAUUUUGAAAAUAUAUGAAAUGUUCUUAUAUCAAAUAUAAUUUAAUUUAACUAGGGUAAAAAGAAACACUUUUUACAUCGGUUACAAUUAUAACUGAUGUAAAUAGUGUAUUUUACAUUGGUUAUAUUUUCAUUUUCAAAAUUUAUGCCUCAAAUUAACUUAGCCCUUCCUUCCUCAUCGGGUAGUAGCACCGAACCAAGGCCCCAAAUCUCUAGAAAAUAAGACAUACAAUACAACUUACCACUAAUCUUAAAAAGCAUUCAUUCCUAACAUUCUUUGGGGUCAAAGAGUAUCAAUGGUUAGAUCUGAUAAAGUACAUCCGCAAAGAAUCAAAACUCAAUAUCAAAAACCAAAUUUAAUGACUAGCAAGCAUAUACAAAUAGAAACAAUAAAUGUAACUUAUCCUCGACCAAUAAGACAUAUGAUUGAAUUUUAUAUAUAACUAUUUUCUAUAUGAUUGAAUUUUAUAUAUAAAACCCCUCAUUAUUUAUUUAUAAAAAUAUGUAUAAUUUUUCAUGUUUUACCAAGAUACAACAAUCAUCAACAUGAAUUCACAAAAUAAGCUUAAGUCAUACACAAAAACAGGCAUAGAGUAAUACAUAUGCAUAAUAUAGUCAACAAAGUAAAGUAUACAAGGCUGAACAUUCGUUUAUAAUACUAAAGUACUGCAGGAUCAAAAGUUGUGUAUGAUCAGAAAUAUGAUCAAAAGAUCUAGCAAAGGAUAAUGUCUGAACAAAACAUAGGAUACUAAUAUUUAAAUUAAUCAAAAACUACAAAGCUACAAAUUCUUAAACAACAUCCUCAAAACUGAACCCAUAAGUGUCAAGAAGAAAGGGCAUGUCUAGAUCAUAAGGAAUUGAUGCAAACAAAGCAACAAGAAGAAAAGAAGAUUGAUGUAGAAGCAUCAAAGUAUUCAAAACCAACUACAAGAAGCAUCGGGCAAAAAAAUAUUAAAAGUUGUUACAGAAUAUACUGCCUGAAAUCUAGUUCACACCACCUGUAAUGAAAUCAAAUUCAAAUAAAAGUUGUGGAUUUUGAGAAAGGCUAAAGGAAAUCACAAGGAAAAUGUUCCAAAAGUAGCAAAUAAGACAUAUAAAUCAGUCGAAGAAUAAUUGUGUGAAAAAGGAUAGCACAUAUAACUUUGGAUGAUCAUAUGACUAAGUUUGACUUUGUCAUGAACAAUUACAAACGACUACUUUGAACCCUAUAAAUGCAACCUCCAUUCAAAGAACUCAUUGCAAGGAAGGAAAGCAACAUAAUGGGGGAUAAACUCAUAAAUUUGUACUUCAAGAUAGAGAAAUAUGCUUCUAAGUGAGUCUUCCUUUAUCGAACACUCUAAAGUUUGUGUUCAUCUCUUGUAAAAUCUUAAAGAUCGAGUCUAUAAAAGUCUUUUAAUAUCACAAUGUAUGUAUGUCAUUGUCGUUAUUAUGUGAUUUGAGAGAAAGAGAAAAAAAUCUAUCCAAUGAACUAUAUGUAAAAAGAGAAAGAGAGGAAUUCAAAAGAUCAAUUAGGUGGAUUGGUGCUUUUAGAGUGAGUUUAGUGCACAAUUAGAUUAGUUGAGUUACUUCAGCUAUUGAGUUGUGACUGAAGCCUAGAGGGGCUUAUGAAAAAAUAGUUAGGUGUUGAAGCCUAAAGGGGCUUGAAAAAAUAUUGCUUGGUAGUGGUUAAUCCUGAAGAAACUUAAAAAAGAAUAUUUGUUGUGUGUUAUGACCUGCAAAGAAUAAGAAUAUAAGUUGAGAGAGUAGCCUACAAAAGCUUGUUAAGAAUAUUGUAUGGAAAGCCGACAGGUGCUUGAAGAGAAAGAAAUAAUACAUGUGUAUUUUGGUGUGAUUGUGGUGAAAAAUCGUAUGAGAUAGGGAUAGGAUGUAAUAAGGUUAAGGAUGAACCAAUAUAAAAAUUCUUGUAUGGAGUAUCUCUCUGUUAUGCUUCUCAUAUAUUUUGGUGUUAAUUAUGUUUUUAGUCUCUAAACUUUUUUGAAUUUUCACUUUUAGUCCUUGAAAAAAAUGACCAAUCUUAGUCUUGGAUCUUUUUGUUAGUCAAUAUUUUUAAUCAUUGCCAUUAAAUCUUGUUAAGUGUUAAUAUGGUGUUAGCUUUAUUAUUAUUUAAUUACGUUUUACAGUAGCUCAAUUUUUUACAGUUAAAAACCACCCCAAAAUUGCUUUGUGAGAUAUUUAAGAAGAUUAAAAUAAACAAAACAAAACACUAACUCUUCCAAGUGCUGCACCAUAGAGGGGGCUAUAUGAGGUCUGAGCCACUUUGAACGGUAACACCAAAUGCAACAACUCCUUCUAUGCGCUCUCUCUCUCUCUCUUCUCCUUCUACCCCAUCAACACCAAACGAUCCAAGGUAUUUUAGUUUAUAGUGGCUUCAGAUGUGAUUUUGGCUUUGGGUAUUUCAGAUCUCAACGACAGCGAAGAGAAGUGUAGUGUUAAGUCGCAACAGUAGAUGAGAGAUCCAAACCCAACUCCAAAUCAAGACCAAGAACUCAAAAUCGUCCCAAUCUAAGAUGAACUUCUUGUUAAUCGAACUACUAAACCAAACCCUUGCGUUGUCAUAAACCAUGCGGGCUUGUGGGUUUCAUGAAUCUGGAAGGCUGUGUUGGAGUGAUCUGGAGUUGUCUCUCCAUAUCCGCAACAACAUUUAAAGCAUGAGUUGCACAUCAAAUCAAGCUUUGAUAUCACUUUCAGAUGCUAAGAAAACCAUAAAUUGAUUCUCGCAGAAACUUGAUGCGUAAAAAAAGUACUCGCACAAGAGCAAGUGUACCCUAUGCAAUAAUAAGAGUGGACAAAAAGUUUAGAUAUCGAAUCCAAAGAACUAGUUGUGUUCCCAAACAAUUAACUUUGUAAAACUAAAAUUUAAGGUUAAAUUAAAUGAAAAAUAGUUUAGGUCAAUUAUUCAAUUUAGUAAAUAAGAAUCAAAGAUAGAAAAGUUGAUGUGAAAGCAGUUAUAAUAAGCAACCUAGGAUUGUGAUUUCACACACUUCAAUUUACCCCAAUUCUAAUUCUAACAAAAUCUCAAAUAUAUAUUGUCAAUUACCGGUAUUUUCAAAUUCAAUUAUUAACCUUUGAUCAUAGUUCAAUAAGCUUUUUAACUUAAUCAAUACUCAAAUUGAUCAUAGGAAUAUCAUAUUAGGUCAAAGGAUUAUGAUCAAAACAAAGGUGAUCAAUUAAUUAAUCAACUAGAAUUUCUCAUAACCAGUUUGAUCAUGUAAGUUACGUAGAAGCAAUCUCUUCCUAAACCAAUCAAUUACACAUAGAUGGUCAAUGUCAUGCAAUAGAUUAAGAUUUGAAGUGAUCAAUUCUAAAUUAAUAAUAAAGAAUAAAGAAGAGAUUUAAUUGAUAGAAAAACAUCGAAGAUUUCAUUAAAAUCAAAAAAGGAGUACAAAAGUAUGAUUACUUCAUAAUCCUGAACUAGAGAGACUAGCUACUCAUGAUCAUUGUAAAACUAGAAACCCCAAUAAAAAAAAAUACAGACAUGUCAAAAGACAUGGAUAUGACAAAAAACUCACAUCGAAAUACAGUCAAAUAUGAGUUUAUCAUUGAUCGAACUACUGAACCAACCCCUUUCAUUGUCAUCAACCAUGUGGGCUUGUGGGUUUCAUGAAUUUGGAGGGCAAUGUUAGGGUGGUCUGGAGUUGCCUCUCCAUAUCCAAAACGGCAUUGAAGCAUGAGUUGCACAUCAAAUCAAGCUUUGAUAUCACUUUCAGAUGCUAAGAAGGCCAUAAAUUGAUUCUCAUUUUUAACACUCCCUCGCAUUUAAAAGCUUGAUAUGUCCAUCAAAUUCAUAUCACUUUUAGAAUUAAUUCUCAUAGUAUUCUACUUUCCCCUUACAUCACUUUUAGACCUUUCUUUUUCUUUUUUGAGGGAUUAUGAAUUGUAGAUUCUUCCGAAAAAUCCCUUGCCAUUUCUUCUGUCACUUUUAGAAGUUUAGAGCUUAAGACCAAUCAAAAUUUUGUUUAGAUACUAAAAGUGAAAAUCUUUAAUGUCCAUCUAUACAAACUCCAUAUUUAGCUAGCCUUGAUUGAGUUUGUACGGGGUGAAAAAUAAAUUCGAAUCAGUUAAUUAUUAGUUAAUACUGGUAUCUAGUAAUGGCAUAUGUACACACUCUUAAACAGUCAAUUUUUUCGAUCCUCACUCAAUUCAAGUUCUCUCUUUCACACUUUCUCUCUCGCGAGCUUGCAUCUAUUGCUCUGAUACCUUUAUCGAUGCAUGCAGCAUGCUUGUAGUUGUAGUUAAUUACCUUUCAUUGUAGUAAAUCUUUACGAUACUUACACUCAAUGAUAUGCACUACAAUGGCUAGUCGUCAUGCUAUAUGUGAAGAUUAAUUACAAACCAUAAAAGAAAAGAAACACCUAAAAUGUGAGGCUCAUUUAAUGGAGGGAGCACCAAUAUAAUAAUCUCAUCAACUAUAACGGUGUUAAACGUGAUCUCUCUAAACACGCUUCCAACCACUCCUCCAAAUAAUAAUAAUCACUGACCAAAUCUGAAAUUCCGGUUUGCAUUUCAAGAAAAAAUGUAAUGACCAAUAGGGCCAUGAACGUACAAUUAGUCCCAAGUUAAGUAUUAUAAAUAAUGCAAGUAUGGGACAAGAGUAACUCAAGCCUUCAGAUAUUUCCCUUCUGAGCUUUGAUUAGUGUGGCCUAGUUGUUGUUUUCUCGAUGAGAAAGGCUUCUUCCACUAUGCAUUGCGCACUUCUGCGCUUUUGGGUUCCCUUGUUGCUGCUUGCUAGCUUCAGCUAUGCUCCUUCUGUUUCGGCCACAACUGAAAUUUCAGGUUUGUGCCUCAUCCUAUUGCUGACAUUAAUUUUGUUAUACUUUAGUUUAUGAAACAUGAUGUUAAUUUCUUUGUGUUCGACCUUAAUAAAAACUUAUUCAUUUUAAUAUUUACAUGUGUGAUUUGACAAUACAGAAUAAUAAUCUCUAAUCUAAGGACUAAUUAAAAAUUAUUGAUUUCAAAUUUGGGUUAAUUUUUCUUCAAAAAAAAGUCUCGUACGACCAAAAGUAUAUAUAAGUAAGUCCUUUUGUUAUUUAAUAUGUAUAAAAAUACGUACACCUAUAUGUGUGACCACCGUAGUAAUUAUGUUCAGGUUGGGAAGAACAGAUCCAUAUAUACUUGACAUGCAAAUACUAAUUAGAAAUGAACAAUUUAAUUAUUCAUGAAGUACUACUGUACGAAUGUCGGUAGCCUACGUUUCAAGUAAAAAUUAAGAUCGACCCUUCAUCCACAAGAUUCAGCCAAUGAAUGGUGCUUUUAAUUACUCUUUGACUGAUAUUGUUGUCUUCCAAAUUCAAUUCAAUCAUUUAUCUUGGAAUGCAGUAUAUAUGUCUGAAAUUAACUUGUGGUUUUUUCUGUUCUGCCCCUUGAGCCUGGAUUUAGUGGCUCCCAUAAACGAAAAACUACUACCUACCUGAUCAAUGCAAUAGCUAAUUAUUAUAGUCUUUAAUUAUGCGAGAGAGAUAUUAUUAUAUUCUUCCUUGGUCUCAUAAUAAUUGUCGUAUAAAAAGAAAUUAUUUAUUUUAAAAUAAUUAUCAUUUUAUUUUUUCAAUGUAACAUUAAUUAAUUUUUUAAUUAUAUUUCUUAUAAUAUUAAUAAUAUGAGCUACAGAAUAAAAAAAUAAUGAUAAUAAAGUUAAUUUUGUAAUAUUAAUAUUCUCUUUCAUUUGUUUUUUUUAUUUAUUUUUUUUAUAAAACAAUUUAGGACAAUAAUUAUAAUCUGAUGAGAGAGUAUCUAUUAUGAUUUUCAAUGAAAUUUUAUAUUAUUUUUGUAUUUAUAUUUUUUUUACUCUAUUUAUAUUCUUGAACAAAAUCAAAUUUACUAGGUAUUAACAAAAAUAUUUAUUGUGUUUAACUUUUUUUUUUUUUUUUACAUUUCUUAUGUAGGGAAUGAAGUGAACACAGAUGGGAAGGUGAUAAAUGAAGAGUUAGCAAAACCAAGUCUAAAAGGACAUGAUGAAGAAGCAAAGUUCAAAGGAUUUUUUCCAAAACCAAUUCCUAUAGUUAAACCAAUUCCAAAGCCAAUUCCUAUUAUUAAACCUAUUCCAAUUCCAGUUUAUAAGCCUAUUCCAAAACCAAUUCCUAUUGUUAAGCCUAUUCCAAAGUCAAUUCCAGUUGCUAAGCCAAUUCCUAAUGAAGAAGAAAAAUUCAAAGGAUUUAUUCCAAAGCCAAUUCCUAUAAUUAAGCCUAUUCCAAAGAUAAUUCCUAUUGUUAAACCUAUUCCAAAGAUAAUUCCUAUUGUUAAACCUAUUCCUAUUCCAGUUUAUAAGCCUAAACCAAAACUAAUUCCUGUUGUUAAGCCAAUUCCUGUUAUUAAGCCUGUUCCAAAGAUAAUUCCCGUUGUUAAACCAAUUCCAAUUAUUAAACCUGUGCCAAAACCAAUUCCCAUUAUUAAGCCUAUCCCAAAACCAUUUAUAGUGAAAAAGCCCAUCCCGACUGUUGAGUCGGAGGAAUUUCUAAAACCAAAGCCUUUCUUCAAAAAGCCUAUUAUUCCUAAGCUACCACUUCACCCCAAAUUCAAGAAACCACUUCUACCACCAUUGCCAAUUCACAAGCCAAUUCCAACUCCAUAAGAGU